AAAGCUCUUAUAUACCUUCACUUUUUCCCAGCAAAUUCUAUUAAGGCAGCUGAACUGAGGAAAAGCAUCAUAUCAGCCUCUUACUUAACCACUCAGCACAGCCCAGUCAGUCUCCUACAACUGAGCAAACCCUGAUGUCUUUCAGCCAGCCUUCCACCACUCCAGGAUCUUUCACCUGGUAUCUUUCAAGUGGGCGAAGGCAGGUUCCUGCUAUACACCAC
This 221-nucleotide long non-coding RNA is filed under the name Capra hircus (goat). RNAcentral describes it as "lncRNA (ENSCHIG00000000651.1)". The record is from RNAcentral. Lineage: Eukaryota; Metazoa; Chordata; Mammalia; Artiodactyla; Bovidae.